GCCCCCGUAGCCCAAUGGCAGAGGCAUACCCCUUAAAAGGGUCGUAGUGCGGGUUCGAGUCCCGCCGGGGGCAC
This 74-nucleotide transfer RNA is filed under the name Thiemannella venezuelensis. RNAcentral's name for it is "Planomonospora venezuelensis tRNA-Leu". It matches the Rfam family "tRNA". From Rfam's summary of the family: Transfer RNA (tRNA) molecules are approximately 80 nucleotides in length. RNAcentral also lists the same sequence under 4 other names. Lineage: Bacteria; Bacillati; Actinomycetota; Actinomycetes; Streptosporangiales; Streptosporangiaceae. The record is from RNAcentral.